AGAGAAAGAGAGCAGAAAACGAACCAAUGGGAGAAUAAUCCGGUGUGUAGGAUUGACCAAUCAGAGUCAUUGUUGUUGUCAGCAACCCAUCUUUGACAGUGUUUAUCUUUUUGUCUCUCGCUCCCCAAAAUGGUGGACUAUUAUUCACUUACCUCUCUCUUAGAUAAAUCAUUCACAGAACAACACUUCUUAUCUCGACAUUUCUGUAACUAGGCUAUGCUUUGACGCCCUAGUUGUUGUUGGUGAUGGAAGUCAGUGUCGGUGGUUUGUUGUUCAAAUCAAACUUUGACUCUGGAAACUUGGCUAAGGUUGAGAGAGUGUAUAAAGAUGAUACCAAAGACAGUUCAUCAGUUUCCAAUAAUGUGAACCGAAAUGCGGAACUCCAACCUGAUUUGGAAUAUAAUGUUUGGACCAGACCAGACUGUUCCAAUACCAUAUAUGAAAAUGGAAAUAGAUCCUGGUUCUACUUUGGUAUAGAGGGGGGAUUGCCUGGCCAAAUGAUCAAAAUCAACAUUAUGAAUAUGAACCGUCAAGGUAAACUUUAUAGCCAAGGAUACUGUCCAGUGAUAUACACAGUUCCUGGCAGCAAUAAAUGGGAACGUCUUCAAGAGAAACCAGUUUUUGAUACUAUUGAUGGCCAAUUUAUUCUGUCAUUCUGUUAUCGGUUCACUGAAAUCAAAGGUGCUACAACAUACUUUGCUUUUGCUUACCCACAUUCCUACAUUGAAUGUCAGAACAACAUCAAUGAGUUGGAGGAGAGAUAUAGUUACUGUAAAAAUAUAUCUUCUGUGGAAAACAUUGCAGAAGAUACUGUUUACUUCUACCGAGAGCUGCUGUGUUACUCCCUGGAGAAGUUGGAGGUCAGUCUAAUAACAGUUUCAUCAUUCCAUAACAUCAUUGAUGAGGAGGAACCUCACUUUGAUCCAAAACUUUUCCCCAUUAAAAACCAGCCAAGGUGCAAGAAAUUUAAAGAGAAAAAGGUGUUUGUAGUAACGAGUCGUGUCCACCCAGGUGAAACUCCUUCCAGCUUUGUAUUUAAUGGUUUCUUAAAUUUUAUCCUUCGACUUGAUGAUCCUCGGUCAAUUCAACUACGAAAGCAGUUUGUCUUCAAGUUGAUUCCAAUACUAAAUCCAGACGGUGUCAUGAAUGGUCAUUACCGGACAGACACACGUGGGGUGAACUUAAACAGAGUGUACGGGGACCCUAGCUUUGAACUCAAUCCGUCCAUAUAUGCUGCCAAAAGUAUCAUUAUUUAUUACCACGUCAACUAUCGGCUAAAGAAAGACAUGUACAAAGACAUCAAAUUUCCUCCAACAGAUAUAUUACCCAAACAAACUGACACCCCUUCUACCACCAGUAAUACAAGUACUACUAAAACCAUUGAUACCAAUUCCAUUAUUAAGUUCCCUGAAAUUACAAACAUUGGUUUAUGCCAAAUCACCCAAUCACUUCAUGCAACUAGAUCAGGGUUAUCUCAUCGAGAACUCAAUUAUAAAGCAUGCCUAUUAGCAUCUCGUUAUAAAUGCCGGAACUUAUAUGAUGGUGAUUUGCCAAAGAGACCCCAUUCAUUCUCCACUUACGAUAGGAUGACUCAGAACAAGUUAAACGUUUGCAACUCCCCAGCUGUAAAAUCAAUAAACCAGUGUAGUCAAACGAGUGGCAGCAGAUCUGAUUCUGAAGACUCUUCAGACCCUAAAGGCAUCAAGAAUGGUUCAUUAAAUAAAGAAUACUCAGCAAAAACUGAAGAGCAGACACAAGUCAUUGAUUCUGAAUUAACAAUGCAUUUAGAAUCAUUGAGAAUUUCAAAUGGAGCUAACUCUGAUAUAACCCAGACAGAGGCAUGUAGGAUUCACUCAGAAUCUGUUGAAUGCAAUUGUAAGUCAGAUGAAGAAAGAACAAACUCAAGAAAUGAUGGUUCUGAUGAAGACCAUGACAGAUAUCAAACAUUACCACCAAGUAAUGUUCCUUCUUCUGCUCAUCUCAAUAACAGUGCAUUCCGAAGAAUAUUGCCCCAACACAGUGGCAUUGCUUUCUAUAUUGACUUACAUGGCCAUGCCUCUCGUAAAGGCUGUUUUAUCUAUGGAAACUUCUUGGAAGCUGACGAUUCACAGAUACAAAAUAUGCUCUAUCCAAAGUUAGUGUCUCUGAAUUCAGCACAUUUUGAAUUUGAUGCCUGCAAUUUUUCCCAACGCAACAUGUACAUCAGAGACAAACGUGAUGGACUCUCAAAAGAAGGAAGUGGACGUGUAGCUAUUCAUAAGUGUACAGGUAUCAUUCACAGCUAUACCCUAGAGUGUAAUUACAACACUGGUAAAGUUAUGAAUGCCAUUCCCCCUGCUUACGGAGACAAAGGUAGAGCUUCUCCAACUUCUAUUGUUGGUAUUCCUCCAAAAUAUACUCCCAGCAUCUAUGAAGAUGUUGGCCAGGCUAUAGCUGUUGCAGCCCUUGAUAUGUAUGAAACCAAUCCAUGGUCAAGAGUCACCCUCUCUGAAUACAAAAGCUUAUAUGGUACUCGAGAAUGGCUAAGAAAAUACUGUUUGAUUCCAAAGGGGUUUCUAAGACCAAAGAACUACAAGCCACCUCUUCGUACACACAGUUUUUCUCAUUUCUCCUCUUCACGUAACAAAAUCAACUCUAAUGACACUAUUUCAUUAAACUCACUCUCAACAACAUCAGAAACAGUUCCAAAAAAUCUCAACUCUGGCAAGAAAGAACUGCGUCCAUUAAAAGAUGUUUCUUCCCGGUUAACAUCGUGUUCCCGAAAAUGCAAUGUAGGUAACAACAAAAAGGAAGAAGAGUCUACGAUAUCUGAAACCAAAGUUUCAGGUUCUUUCACUCUUCCCAACAGCACUGAGUCACCAGGUUUGGCUAGUCUGAGAAGUACACGACUUCAACACAACAAAAUUAACCCCAUUAGUUACAAUGUCUGUUCUGAAAGUGUUCCAAAGCACACCACUAAGUUUACAUCUCGGAAUAAACCCAUCGACUCAAAACUUCAGAGAGCAAAGUCAGAUAUCUCCAAAAGUACUUCAAUUUCACCUGCCAUCUUCUCCAAACCAGUCAAAAGUAACUCCCUAUAUGACAAGAAAGAUGCGGUUAAAACUGGCUUAAGCCGAUCUGUGUCCAGUGGUAAUGAUAAGCAACGCUCAUUGCUUCAUUUAAAUCAUAACCACACAUGGUCAGCCGAAGGUUCGUUUCAUAACAACAAAUUAAUGUUUAAGUCAAGGCGGCACAUGUCUUCUUCAACAUCAAUGCAGAGAAAGAAGAGUGAACUAGCAAGAGUUGAAGGUUCACUAUCAAGUGUCCAUUUGAAAUCAAAGGAGGAGUUUUCAUCUGAAGCCACUAAUGAUGUUCAAAGACUCGUUUAGUGAAUAGCAUCAACACGUGAGAUAAUGAAGCACUUCGUCUCAACACUUGUAUCAUCUUUUUAACACAACACUCCUAUUAUGGCUACCACUUCCAGUUAAGGUUUAGAGAUUAUAGAUGUUCAAUAGCUAAAGCUGCUACCUUCCAAAGUUUUGUAAAUUUACCUUUCAGCAAUGUCAACAGGUUACCGUUUCAAAUCGAAGGAUGU
Molecule: unclassified non-coding RNA, 3574 nt
Filed under: Octopus sinensis (East Asian common octopus)
Lineage: Eukaryota; Metazoa; Mollusca; Cephalopoda; Octopoda; Octopodidae
Description: cytosolic carboxypeptidase-like protein 5, transcript variant X5
Source: RNAcentral